AACGAACGCUGGCGGCAUGCCUAACACAUGCAAGUCGAACGAGACCUUCGGGUCUAGUGGCGCACGGGUGCGUAACGCGUGGGAAUCUGCCCAAAGGUUCGGAAUAACUCAGGGAAACUUGAGCUAAUACCGGAUGAUGUCGCAAGACCAAAGAUUUAUCGCCUUUGGAUGAGCCCGCGUAGGAUUAGCUUGUUGGUGAGGUAAAGGCUCACCAAGGCGACGAUCCUUAGCUGGUCUGAGAGGAUGAUCAGCCACACUGGGACUGAGACACGGCCCAGACUCCUACGGGAGGCAGCAGUGGGGAAGUAUUGGACAAUGGGCGAAAGCCUGAUCCAGCAAUGCCGCGUGAGUGAUGAAGGCCUUAGGGUUGUAAAGCUCUUUUACCCGGGGAUGANAAUGACAGUACCGGGAGAAUAAGCUCCGGCUAACUCCGUGCCAGCCGCCGCGGU
RNAcentral lists this ribosomal RNA (449 nucleotides) under uncultured bacterium. Its description in RNAcentral is "bacterial SSU rRNA". It matches the Rfam family "Bacterial small subunit ribosomal RNA", at positions 29 to 521 of the family's 1533-position model. The record is from RNAcentral.